UACGAAGGGAGCUAGCGUUGUUCGGAAUCACUGGGCGUAAAGCGUGCGCAGGCGGUUGUGCAAGACCGAUGUGAAAUCCCCGGGCUUAACCUGGGAAUGGCAUUGGUGACUGCACGGCUAGAGUGUGUCAGAGGGGGGUAGAAUUCCACGUGUAGCAGUGAAAUGCGUAGAGAUGUGGAGGAAUACCGAUGGCGAAGGCAGCCCCCUGGGAUAACACUGACGCUCAUGCACGAAAGCGUGGGGAGCAAACAGG
Molecule: ribosomal RNA, 253 nt
Filed under: uncultured bacterium
Lineage: Bacteria
Description: partial 16S ribosomal RNA
Rfam family: Bacterial small subunit ribosomal RNA
Source: RNAcentral